Long non-coding RNA from Pongo pygmaeus (Bornean orangutan), 1848 nucleotides. RefSeq lists it as uncharacterized. NCBI's taxonomy places the organism in Eukaryota, Metazoa, Chordata, Mammalia, Primates, Hominidae. The transcript has 3 exons. The record is from RefSeq and is a predicted model, not a curated record.
GCCUCCGGGACGGAGUGGUCCCCUCGAGUAGUGCAGGAGCUGCAAGAGAAGCGCGCCGGGGCCAGCAAGCUCUAGAACAGCAGGAGCGGCCCCAGUUGGGACCCCGGGACGACGAGUGGCCGGCAACGCGGCGCCGGCAUGGCCCAAGCAGUGUCCGAGAGGGGUCGGGAACCCGGACUGGGGGCGCAGCGAGGACCGCCCGGAGGCUUUCCCUUGGGCAGCUAAGUCCGAGUCAGCUCUACUCGGAUUUCCAGCUUCCAGCCCCGGCUCAGAAGCGCCCUUGAGAAUGUCUUAAGGAGACAGCUGAUAGACAAACAACAGUUUUGGAUUUACUGACUGAUUAUGAAAGAAGCAGUAGACUGGUAUCAAGAAUCAGUCAGGUUUUUGGAAUCCUUACGUUUCCACAUGUGGAAAGCCUGAGCUAACCUACUGGAGGAUGAGCCAUCACCUGGAGCAGACUCAGGCCAUCCUAGUUGAAGCCUCCCCAAGCCAAGCAACCUUCCAACUACCAGACAUUGACCAUUCAGCCUUGAACGUUCAGCACAAAGACAAAACAGACCAGACCAGAAGAGUCCCACAGAAUAGGGGAAACUAUUCAGAGAAAACUUAAGCCACUAAGUUUUAUGGUGUUUUGUUCUGUAGCAGAAGCAUACUGACAAUACAAACCGAAAUCCUUCUAAUGUAGUGGACCUUUUCAGGCCAGCAUUUUUUCCUUGAAAACCUGGAGCAUGUAUCCAUCUUAUAGCAGAGAUCACUUUCACAAUGUUUGGGCUCUUGAUUUGAAUUGAUGAUGUAAUGAGCCCUCUAUCCAGAUUGUAACUAAUUACUCUGCCACUUGACCGGAUUCCACACCCUUCUAAUAUUUUACUUUUCCUCUUUUAUCAACUCUCAUUCUCUCUGCCAUGAUCAAUAGACCAACUAUGCUUAUAACCACAAAUUUUGAUAUGCUUAAACAAAUGAACAAAUAUAUUUAAUAAUUUCUUUUUUUUUUUUAAAUGGUGUCUUGCUCUGUCACCCAGGCUGCAGUGCAGCAGUGUGAUCUCAGCUCACUACAACCUCCACCUCCCGGGUUCAAGUGAUUCUCCUGCCUCAGCCUCCCAAGUAGCUGGGACUACAGGUGCCCGCCACCAUACCCGGCUAAUUUUUUGUAUUUUUAGUAGAGACAGGGUUUAUCCAUGUUGGCCAGGCUGGUCUUGAACUCCCAACCUCAAGCGAUCCUCCUGCCUCAGCCUCCCAAAGUGCUGGGAUUACAGAUGUGAGCCUCCAUGCCCAGACAAUAAUUUCUCGAUAUAAUAAAAAUGCCAAUGCUAUACAAUUAAUAGUAAAGUGAUAAAAAGUAGAAUAACAUGAUAACCAUUAAUUAAUAUAUAUUACAUAAUCAUCCUUUUCAUGAGUUGAAAUGUUCUUUUAGCACACUUUAUGGUUUAUCCUUUCUGGAAUACUAUUAUAUGAUCAUGAUUUUUCUCACACUUGUUCCAACGAAAUAUAAUUUUAGGUGUUUCCUUCAUAUUGUUCAAAUUGUAAUAUCUCCAGUGGAAGAUUUUUUAAGCUUGUUCUUGUCUUGUCAGUGUCACCCCACAUAGUCAUAGUCUGAAAGCAUCUUGCUUUCUGGAAAUGAGAUAUUAUAGGCACCAAGAUACGGAAUUAUUACUUUUCACCAAGCCUUGGUUCUUUCAGUGGUGUAUUAGAGACCUCAUUUAGGGUUCUAAGGGUACAUAUCAAAUUGUUCCAUGAGUCUAAAAUGGAUAAUUCUGCUGUGGGCCAUUUUUAGUGAUAGGGCUAGAAAAGUUAUACUUUUAAAAGGUAAAUAGCUCACAAUGAUUUUGCAAUAUAAUUCCCACUUUACCC